Long non-coding RNA from Zootermopsis nevadensis, 1682 nucleotides. RefSeq lists it as uncharacterized. The record is from RefSeq and is a predicted model, not a curated record. Lineage: Eukaryota; Metazoa; Arthropoda; Insecta; Blattodea; Termopsidae.
CCCAAACCCCUGAAAUAAAAAAGAAACAACAAAACAACAACCAGUAUUACAGUCAGUGUCCACUGCAUUCACUGUUUUCCUCAAGUAUGAUGCAACCUGGUGAGAGUUCCUGUGCCAUGGAAACAGUUCACCAGGUACAGGUAAUUUGUUAUCUGGAGGAGUUUGGGGGUUUGGAACAGGGGUGGAGACAGCAUCACCUGCAUCAUUUCUCUGAGGUGAGAGUAAUUCCUGACGAUCUCGUUCUCGCUCUCGACCUGGCCUGAAUGCUUCCAGUAGCGCUUCUACUCGAUCAUCAGUGGGUCCCCAGCGCUGGUACCCUGCAUUAUUUUGCAGCCAAACUACCAGAGUCCCAUGUGCUGACCUCACAUUCAAUUCACUCCUAUAAUAAUAAUUGAAUGGUGAUAAAAACAUGAAUGUUAUAUGGUGUGCGUGCACGUGUACAUAUACUGAUCCGAACCAGCGCGCAUUCCGUAUCACCGGUCAGAAGCAUGAUGCCUCAGACCGAACGGCUAUGGCGAAAGUUAUGGCCUUGACAACUAACCCCUACACAAAGGAUUGGUGUCUCAGUUACAGUUACAUUGCUAUACACUUGGACAUGGCCUUCAGCUUCAUGCGAACAGCUGCACUGUUUGACUUAUGAGCACAACACAUUUUGAACUUCUGUGCACACAAGAUCAUGUGUUUCCUACAGAAAUACAUCUAUACUUUUCCAUGUUUCAAGGAAGAUGUAGAAAAAGCUGAACAGUGUAUUAGAUAGAAUACACUAAUAGUACAGUGGAUGUUAAAGAAACAUGGUUUGAGGAUGUGGACUGGAUUCAUCUGGCUUAUGAACAUGCAUUUGUCUUUAUUGAAUUUCUUACUCCAGAAGAGAACAGAUGGUAGAAUAAUUAAGAGUGGUGAAUCAAGUUGUAAUGGGAGGAAGAACUGAAAUGUUAUAAGGAACAACAUUGGUAUUCUUGGCAAAACUGAAAGGAAUAUGCCAGAAUAAUCAACCUAAAGAUAUAAACAGUGCAACUUCCAAAAACAAAUCAGCUCAAACACACAAGAGAGUGGAUUCUUUAAAAUACAAGAAAGGGAUAAAUUUCUGGCACGCGUCAUGACAGGAGACAAUGUGACUGCACCACACUGAACCAGAAGCAAAGAGACAGUGAAUGAAUGGAGCGGCAUCAUGCAAAUUCUCCACGGAACUUCAGGGCUGCACCUUCUAUGAAUAAGGUGAUCAGAAUUAAUGAACAAUUUUUACAAACAGUGUUUCUCAUAUUAAUGUGUGAUGAAUCUUUCAUGUAAACAUUUAGUAGUCAAUGAACACUGUGUGAACAUUUGAUGUCCUGUUGCAGAGCAGUAAGGUACAAAGCAAAUUGUGUUUAUCUACUUACCAUGUGCAUGCUUUGUUUAUAAACAAAAAUAAACAUCUAUAAUAAAUAUAUCUGAUAUUUUACUAAUAAGAAAAGGUAAUGUAUUGAUAUCUCAUUAAUUGCUUUAUGUAGUUUCAAUUUUCAGUUAAUAAAUACAGUUUUACCAUUAAAGACUUAAAUUAUGUAGCCUAUUUAUAUUUUCAUUUACGCAUAGAUUUAGAGUGGCCCAAAGAAAAAAUGUUAAAUUUAACAGAGAAAUAGAAGUUGUGGAAAUGGUUUAUGAAAUGUCAUGUCAGAAGAUUAUAAAAAUCAAACUGUGUCUAACUA